Molecule: long non-coding RNA, 4852 nt
Filed under: Capsicum annuum
Lineage: Eukaryota; Viridiplantae; Streptophyta; Magnoliopsida; Solanales; Solanaceae
Description: long non-coding RNA (CANN_LNC018082)
Source: RNAcentral
UGGGCUUUUCUAUGCUUUGUUUCCAAUAAUCCAACACUGAUUCCAAAAGGUAUCACCCCUUCACAAAAAAAAAUCAAACAUUUCUUCAAUGGAAUUGGUAUCGUUAUGAUGAAGUCUCAAAUUAUUUGCAAAAUGCCACAUAGAAAUAAAAGUGUCCCUAGGAUUUCUACAUAAGUAAACGAGUUUGGUUCUUGAAUCUUGAACAAACUUUGGUUCUCCCAAACCCAAGAAUGCCUGAUCAACAACAAAUCCUAACAAAUCUACUCUCUGUAAUAUAUCUAAUGAUGAAUAUCAUAUCUUGGAAUAUUAGAGGGAUAAGGUCGCAGGGAUCCCUGGAAAGGCUUCAAGACUUCAAACUUCAAUAUCAAAUUCCUUUAUUUUACCUACAAGAACCAAUGGUUAAUAGUAGCAAAUCAUCAGAUUCAAGAGGAGAUUGGGCAUGCCUUUCUUCUUUCCAUAAUUAUUCUAACAAAAUUUGGCUCUUUUGGAACGCUGAUGUUACUGUGGAUGUUAUACAGGAUAAAGAACAUGUUCUUAUCAAAAUAGUCCAUAACACUGAUCCUGCUUUGUAUCUAUCUAUUGUUUAUGCCAAAUGUAGUAAAGCUCUCAGAGUGGAGUUAUGGGAUGACCUGAGGAACAGAGCUGCUUCAAUGAAUGAUGCUUGGGGGCUGGUUGGCGAUUUUAACACUAAUCACAGAAUGGAGGAAAGUCUUGACUUUCUGUCUUGCCUUAACGAUUGUGGUCUUCAAGAUAGAGGAUAUAGUGGGUCUAUAUUUACUUGGUGUGACAAUAGAGAUCCCCCAAACACUAUCUGGAAAAGAUUGGAUAGACUAGUUUAAAACUCUAAAUGGUUUGACAACCUAAAUGCUACAUCUAUCAUCCACCUAUCUAGAACUUGUUAUGUUCAUGCUCCCCUCCUUAUCAAAAUCAGUAAUGAGACUACCAACUUCAUAAAGUACUUCAAAUUUCUUAACAUUUGGGUUGAUCAUCCAGAUUUUCUUCGCGUAAUCCAGGAAAGUUGGGGUAUCCAAAUUAGUGGAAACCCCCUCUUUAUGCUCCAUCAGAAACUUAAAACUACUUGCGGGAACCUUAGUCUCUGGUCUAGGCAAACCUAUGGAGAUAUCCAUGAAGAGCACAAAUGACUAGAGGAGCAGAUGAGAGUUCUUGAAGAUAACUAUGUUCAAAGCAACAAUGCUGAUAAGAGAGAGGCCCUCUCUAGAUGUAGAGCUGAGCAUACUAGAUACCUCAAAUUCCACCACUCGAUCUUGAGAUAAAAAACUAGGAUAAAGUGGUUUGAAGAGGGUAAAUCCAAUGCAGCCUAUUUUCACAACAUCAUCAAAGAUAGGAGAAAAAGACAGACCAUCAGGAAAAUCAUGAAUGAACAGGGUCAGUGGAUUGAAGGAAAUGAUUCUAUUUCCGAAGCUGAUGUUUGAUACUUUCAAGAUCUUUUCAACAAGGAAGAUCAUAACUCUUCCCAGGACCCUCUAAAUUGUAUUCAGAGAUGUAUCACUGAAGAGGAGAAUAACACUAUUAUGGCCAUCCCUUCCCUCCAAGAGGUUAAAGACAUAGUUUUCUCCAUGGACGUUGACAGUCCACCGGGCCUAGAUGGACUUAGUGUCUGUUUCUAUCAAACCGCAUGAUCUAUAAUCGCCACUUAUCUUUAUAAUGCUAUUGUCUCCUUCUUUGAAGGUGCAACCCUCCCUAAAUACUUCACUCACACAUGCUUGAUUAUGGUUCCUAAAGUUGACCAUCCUCAGAAAUUCAGUGACCUCAGACCCAUCAGCCUUUGUAACGUGUCUAGUAAGAUUAUCUCUAAACUAUUGAAUGCCAGACUAGCCACUAUUCUACCUAGAAUAAUUUCCAAGAACCAGAGUGCUUUUGUGAAGGGUAGAGCUGUCACGGAAAGCAUCCUCCUUACCCAAGAGACUAUAAAUGAUAUCAGGAAGCCUACUAGAGGGAAUAAUGUUGUCAUCAAACUUGACAUGACUAAGGCACAUGACAGAGUAUCUUGGUCUUUUUUAUGCUCUAUCUUAAAGAAAAUGGGUUUCUCUGAUGUUUGGGUGAACCUUAUCCACAAGUACAUUUCCAACAACUGGUACUCUGUUAUUGUGAAUGGUACCAGAAAUGGUUUCUUUAAAUCGGGAAGGAGUUUAAGACAAGGGGAUCCCUUGUAUCUGUCUCUAUUUAUACUUAGUGCUGAACUCCUGUCUCAAAUGCUCAAUGCUCUCCAGAGAAAACCAGGAUAUAAUGGUUUCUACAUGAGAGAUAAUUGCCCCCAUAUCAACCACCUAUCAUUUGCAGAUAACACCAUUUUGUUCUAUAAUAGUGGGAAAAAACCUCUAAAAAUGGUUCUUGAGACCCUCAAAUCCUAUGAAGGAAUCUCCGGUAACUUAUAAAUAGGCACAAGAGUGGCUUUGUGGUUGCUGAGAACACUAGACCUCGUGAUAUUGUCUGGCUUCAUAACAUCACUGGGAUGAACCACCAGAAAUUUCCUAUCAAAUAUUUGGGGUGUCCUAUCAUUGUUGGGAAGAAGAAAAUCUCUUAUUUUUCUGACAUUGUGAACAAAUUUACUAGUAGAAUAAGGGGUUGGCACACAAAACUACUUUCUCCAGGGGGGAAGGUCCAUCCUCAUCAGACAUGUCUUCAUGGCUCUUCCUAUACACCUCUUAUCAAUGGUUACUCCUCCUAAGGUCACUCUCGAAACUAUUGAGAAAUUCUUAAAUAGAUUUUUCUAGUCGGGGUUGGACAAUGGUGGUAAACAUCAUUGGGCUUCUUAGGACAACCUUUGCCAUCCCUACAAUGAGGGGGGCACCAACUUUAGAAAGCUCUCGGAUAUUUGUCAAUCCUUCAGUGCUAAAUAGUAGUGGUCUUUAAGAACCUCUAACUCCCUGUGGAGUGAAUUGAUGAAAGAAAAAUACUUGGUCGAGAAUCAUCAUCUGAAGGCAAAAUGGAAAAAAGGGCAAGCUCCCUCCUGGAAAGCUCUUUGUGCUACUGGGGAGGUGAUUGAUCAUAACAUUCUCUGGAUAGUUGAUAAAGGGGAGGUAUCCUUCUGGUCCGAUAACUGGAGUAACUUUGGCCCCCUUUAUCACAAAUUGACAACAAAUACUGACAUCUUAGAUGUGCAGCUUAAAGAAGUUUGCCACAAUGGAGAAUGGGAUUGGAAUAUGCUGAACAUUUCCUUACCUGAAGAUGGAAAACGAAGGAUCUUGAAGCAAAAAAAUACUAGUAUAAACAACAACAAAGAGGACAAACUAGUGUGGAUUCUUUCCCACACUGGAAAAUUCUCUCUUUGUUCUACUGGGAGGGAAUUGAGGCAAGAAAGAGCGCCCAACAACCUUGACAGCAGGCUAUGGCAGAACAACAUACCCUUUAAGAUGUAAUUCCUCACGUGGAGAGCCAUCCAUAAUAAACUCUCCACAGAUACGAAUGUUUCAAGGCUAGGAAUCCAUAUGGAUCCCAUGUGUUAUUGCUGUAACAGUAGUAGAGGUGCCACCGAGCUUGAAUCAGUUAACCACUUAUUUUGUCAUGGAGAUUUUGCUAACAAGAUGUGGUCUUUUUUUGCAUGUCCCCUGGGGAUAAAUACGAGCAACCCCAAUUUGAAGUUCACCCUUCUCAGUUGGUGGAACCACAAGACCAAGAACCCCAUCUGCUCACUUAUAAUUAAAAUUAUUCCUGGCAAGAUGUACUAACAAGUAUGAAGGAGAAAGACCUUCAUUAUAUCAAUCCUCCUCUAAUGUAUUAUUCAAUAUUUUACUGGUUCUAAGGAAGAGAUUUGGAAAUGCGAGGAUUGGAGACACUUGGAACUCUGUCUGUCGGGCCUGUGAUCGAGAUAUUCAUCAAACAAAAUCUACCAUCGUCAAAUGGAUUAGACCUCAAACAAACUCGUUAAAACUCAACAGUGAUGAAAGUUGUAUUAAUGGUAAGUGUGGGGGAGGCGGAAUGGUAAGAGAUAACACAGGGAAAAUUAUUUUUGCCUAUGCGAACCAUUAGACCCAGGUUCCAGAAACUAUGCCGAAGUUGCUGCUAUGCUCUUUGGCCUGGUGGUUCUUGAAUAAUGACUCAAGACCUGUUUGGGCGGAAACUGACUCACUGCUUUUAACAAAUUGCAUGAAAAAAGUUUGGAAAACUUCAUGGAAGUUAGCUAGUAUUGUUGACGAUAAUCAGAAACUAGUUGAAAAGAGUUGACUUUCAUAUUACUCAUUGCUUUAGAGAGGCUACUAAGCCAGCUGACAGGCUAGACGCUUUGAGCCACAGAAGUGCUGAGAUUCAAAUCUUCAACUCUUUCUCCGUCUUGCCCCUCGAAGUGAAAGGAUUUGACCAACUUGGAUAGAUGGGGUAUCCCAUCCAUAAGAAUCAAAGAUGUUUCGGAUAACCAUAUCGUAUAUGAUACCUCUUAGUGGCUUGACCUGUUAAGCUCUUUCGGGUAGGAUUACCAAUUCUAUAUUAGCCUCAUCUCAAUGAUUUUGUAUACAGUCUGGGAUGCCAGACUUAACUUGUAACUUUUUUGCACAUCAAUGUUCGAUGAAGGCUGGGUUGAAUUAAAAAAAAAAAACAAAGUUGUUGUUGUGGGUUUUGUCAACUUCCCAAAGGCAGAAAGUUAGAUUUGACAAGACAUUAUUGAAAUUGGUGAGAUAAUGUCCAAGUCCCUUUGCUUGUAGUUAUACUCAAUUACGAUUAAUUACUCCUAAUAAAAGGUCGAUAGAUACUUUGUACUAUCAACUAGUAUAAAUUCACCCAAAAGACCAUUAAUAAGACUUAUCAUUAGAACCGAUGAGAUAAGGCAUAGUCUCUUUGCUUGUACUUACGCUUAUCUAAAAUUUAUUAUUUUAGUUAUAGACUAGGUCAUUGGAAC